CCCUCGUGGUGGCGCCUUGCUCCUCGCCGGUGGUCGCCACCUGCCCGCGAAGCCUCGGUCCGUCCCCACCGCUGCCCGACUUGGUUGGAGUUGGGGUUCUGAGUGACUGCCCCCUACAGCCGGCCAGCGGAGAGCCCCGCGCCGCCAUCCCUGGUCCGGGAUCCCUUCUCCGCUCCUCUCCGCUCCCACGAUGGAAAAAGUUGGCGCCGGCGGCGGCUCCCAGCCGGGCUGAGCGCGCUCCUCGCCUGCAUGGGGCUCUGGGUUCUCCAGGAUGGACUAAAUGGUCACCAUUGUCAAGAAUUGAUUGAAAUUUCUGGUGGCAAGCCCAACAAUUAGGGUCUGUUUCUGGGGGAGCCUGUAGCUUCUAAGAUGGAAAAGCAUGUACAGGGCCUGGAAGAAGCGAGGAGGUGCCUCUCACU
Balaenoptera musculus (blue whale) is the source of this 419-nucleotide long non-coding RNA. RefSeq lists it as uncharacterized. The record is from RefSeq and is a predicted model, not a curated record. NCBI's taxonomy places the organism in Eukaryota, Metazoa, Chordata, Mammalia, Artiodactyla, Balaenopteridae. The transcript has 3 exons.